ACGGAAGGUCCGGGCGUUAUCCGGAUUUAUUGGGUUUAAAGGGAGCGUAGGCCGGGGAUUAAGCGUGUUGUGAAAUGUAGACGCUCAACGUCUGCACUGCAGCGCGAACUGGUUUUCUUGAGUACGCACAAAGUGGGCGGAAUUCGUGGUGUAGCGGUGAAAUGCUUAGAUAUCACGAAGAACUCCGAUUGCGAAGGCAGCUCACUGGAGCGCAACUGACGCUGAAGCUCGAAAGUGCGGGUAUCGAACAG
RNAcentral lists this ribosomal RNA (251 nucleotides) under uncultured bacterium. Its description in RNAcentral is "partial 16S ribosomal RNA". It matches the Rfam family "Bacterial small subunit ribosomal RNA", at positions 525 to 775 of the family's 1533-position model. The record is from RNAcentral.